AGCCCCAUCCCAGGCUCCCAGGGAGAGGAUAAGAGGGGCCUGGCAGAGCCCGGACCCAGCUGGUUCUCUCUAGGGAGCAGAGCUCUCGGGGUCCCCUGCACCAUGGCCUGGCCUCUCGUCUGCCUCCUCCUGCUCACCUGCUGCUCAGGUUCCUUCUCCCAGCCUGUGCUGACUCAGUCUCCCUCAAUGUCUGUGUCCCUGGGAGCCACGGCCAGACUCACCUGCACCCUGGGCAGUCAGCACAGUUAUUAUACAAUUGCAUGGCACCAACAGAGCCCGGGAAAGGCCCCUCGGUACCUCAUGUAUGUGAAGGGCAAUGGAAGUGCAGGCAAGAGCGAGGGGGUCCCCGACCACUUCUCAGGCUCCAGCUCUGGGGCCAAUCACUACUUGUCCAUCAGCAACAUCCAGCCUGAGGACGAGGCCGAUUACUACUGUGAGACAUAUAGUAGUGGUGCUUACCACAGUGCUACAUUCAGUGAGGAAGUGGAAAAAAAACCUCCCUGCCAGCCCCGACCUGGCCCAGGCUGCUGACACAGCCCAAGCUGCCAAGGGACAGGAAGGUCCCUCCUUCUCUCUGCUUCUUC
Molecule: non-coding RNA, 584 nt
Organism: Antechinus flavipes (yellow-footed antechinus)
Lineage: Eukaryota; Metazoa; Chordata; Mammalia; Dasyuromorphia; Dasyuridae
Source: the annotation of a RefSeq genome assembly